CAGAGACGAGGAAGGGCGUAGCAAGUGACGAAGUGCUUUGGGGAGUUGAAAAUAAGCAUAGAUCCGGAGAUUCUCAAAUAGAUCAACCUUUUGAACUGCCUACUGAAUGUGAGCGGAAAAGAAAGCAAAAGCGAUUCUCAUAGUAACGGCGAGCGAAAUGGGAGAAGCCUAAACCAUGAAAACGGGGUUGUCGGAGAACAAUACGAGCAUUGUGCUACUAGGCGAAGUUGGCAAUUGAUGGUCAAUUCACUCAGAUACAGACCCUCCAAACGAUUUUUUUAUGGCUCAGACAAUUAAAAUUAGAAAAAAAAUUGACUAUCCUUUAAAACUGUUUUGCUG
This 339-nucleotide non-coding RNA is filed under the name Leersia perrieri. RNAcentral describes it as "Bacterial large subunit ribosomal RNA". It matches the Rfam family "Bacterial large subunit ribosomal RNA", at positions 43 to 409 of the family's 2925-position model. Lineage: Eukaryota; Viridiplantae; Streptophyta; Magnoliopsida; Poales; Poaceae. The record is from Rfam by way of RNAcentral.